RNAcentral lists this ribosomal RNA (210 nucleotides) under uncultured Desulfuromonas sp. RNAcentral's name for it is "partial 16S ribosomal RNA". It matches the Rfam family "Bacterial small subunit ribosomal RNA", at positions 1174 to 1382 of the family's 1533-position model. Lineage: Bacteria; Pseudomonadati; Thermodesulfobacteriota; Desulfuromonadia; Desulfuromonadales; Desulfuromonadaceae. The record is from RNAcentral.
GGGGGAUGACGUCAAGUCCUCAUGGCCCUUAUGACCAGGGCUACACACGUGCUACAAUGGCCGGUACAAAGGGCAGCGAUACCGCGAGGUGGAGCAAAUCCCAGAAAGCCGGUCUCAGUUCGGAUUGGAGUCUGCAACUCGACUCCAUGAAGUCGGAAUCGCUAGUAAUCGCGGAUCAGCAUGCCGCGGUCGAAUACGUUCCCGGGCCUU